GGGGAUGCGUGGUCUCGACAGGGUCCAGUUGUCAGGGAACGCGAGCCGAGGUGCCGUCAGGCCUCGUAAAACAGGCGGCAAAACGAAGUAACUGGCAACCGCCAGACUGCUCUCGCCCUCGCGGCUUAGGCCGUAAGGUGAGCGUGGAAGCGACCUCAUCCCCGCGGGUCGUGGAAGCGUCAUUCAGCGGGGAUGCGCUCAGGAUCAGCGUCGCGUAGUCCGGAGCAAAGCCCGAUCUAGGGGCACGUGACUGGACCGGAUGGCAGGCUGCCGAUGGCCGACCAGCCGGUCGACGACAAAUCAUCGGACACGCUCGUAGUGGUCCCUGGUGAAGGGCUCUGGACGGGGAGUUCGACUCUCCCCCAUCUCCACCA
This 374-nucleotide transfer-messenger RNA is filed under the name Chloroflexota (GNS bacteria). Its description in RNAcentral is "CF-16 sp005880805 Standard tmRNA". It matches the Rfam family "transfer-messenger RNA". Rfam says of the family: Bacterial tmRNA, also known as 10Sa RNA or SsrA, is named for its dual tRNA and mRNA-like properties. RNAcentral also lists the same sequence under 2 other names. Lineage: Bacteria; Bacillati. The record is from RNAcentral.